CGAAUCUCAGUUCGGAUUGAAGGCUGAAAUUCGCCUUCAUGAAGCCGGAAUUGCUAGUAAUGGCAGGUCAGCAUACUGCCGUGAAUACGUUCCCGGGUCUUGUACACACCGCCCGUCACACCAUGGGAGUCGGAAAUGCCCGAAGUCUGUGACCCAACCGUAAGGAGGGAGCAGCCGAAGGCAGGUCGGAUGACUGGGGUGAAGUCGUAACAAGGUAAC
This 219-nucleotide ribosomal RNA is filed under the name uncultured bacterium. Its description in RNAcentral is "partial 16S ribosomal RNA". It matches the Rfam family "Bacterial small subunit ribosomal RNA", at positions 1282 to 1500 of the family's 1533-position model. The record is from RNAcentral.